RNAcentral lists this long non-coding RNA (384 nucleotides) under Gossypium raimondii (Peruvian cotton). RNAcentral's name for it is "long non-coding RNA (GRAI_LNC002230)". Lineage: Eukaryota; Viridiplantae; Streptophyta; Magnoliopsida; Malvales; Malvaceae. The record is from RNAcentral.
UGUAACGGGGCUUGGGUGAAUGUAUAAAAAGAAGAGACUUUUUUGGCUUAUUGAUCAAUGAAAUACAUAGAAUCUUUACUUGAGACUUGACAUUUUAUACUCAAGCUAUAACGAAGUAUACAAUGAGAGAGGGAAAUAAUUAACCUGAGAAUCUCACUAUGAUAUAUAUAUUUUUUGUUUUUUUUUGUGUGUGAGAAAGUAGAUAAGGAUCUCAUGAUAUUCAUAGCAAUCACUAUUCAUUCUGUCAUUCCUUUUUUGUUUUUUGUCUUCUUCUUCUUCUUUUUUUUUUGAUAAAGUUAGCUUGAGUGUAAUGCAUUUCAAGUUAGGAGAUCAAUGUAAAUCCUUUGAUCCAGAUACAAAAAUAGGAAAUCAACAAAAAAUGGU